GGACACAUUGCCCCUCAAUGUCCUAAAAAGAAAGAUAGACAAAAUAUAAAAACUCUUAGAAUUUACGAAAAAUUCCAAGAAGAUAGUGAUAUAGAACCAAUUGAAUAUUUUGGAGAUUUAAGUAGUGAAUGUAGUAGUAUUUAUGAAUUAGAUACAUCCUCAUCAGAAGAAGAAGAUUAUGAGGAAAUUGUAUAUAUGAAUCAAGAGAUUACUUUUGACAUUAAAAAAUACGCAGGAAUUACUAAGAAGAUAUUAGAUUUACAAGAAAAAGAUGUAUUUCAUCAAGGAUUCUUAGGAAUUUUACCAAGGGUAAAUAAAACAAUUGUUAGUAUGAAUUAUAAAGAAAUGUCUAUUAAUAUAGAAGAUACCAUAGGAAAAGCAAGAAUACCUAUAAUUACAAAAGAAUGGGUAAAACAAAAAUUAUCCAAAAUCCCAGAAAAUGUAAGAAAUAAAUUAAAAUGUAUUGAGUUAGGAGGAGUCCAAAUAAUGGUAAAAGGAUUUUUUAGAGAAGGUAUGAAUAUACCAAUAGAAAUAUAUUGUAUGGAUAAUAGAAUCUUACAAGAUCCUAUAGAUGCUCUAUUAGGAACAGUUGUAGGAAAUCUAGUCUAUCAAAAGAUAAUAUUCACAGUAAAACCAAAUUAUGCAAUAUCAUUAAAUGAUGAAAAUAUUGACCAAAGUUUCAAUCUAUAUUAUAGAAUUGGUAACUUAAAAAUGUUACGAAGAAGUAAGGCUAUUAGUAUAAGCAUAAAAUCAAUUUUUGCUUUUAGUACUAGUCAUCAUAACAAUUUAAGAAAAAUAACUGAUAAUAUUAUCAUACACAAAGAUUUUGAAGAAUUAGCACAAUAUAUACCUCCUAGAAAAUACCAAGAACAUGAAGUCACUAUACCAGAACAAAUAAUGCUUGAUUUCCAUAAACAAGCCAGAGAAAUUAACUCUGAAGGAAAAUUAAUAAGAAGAAAUAGUGUGAGCUUAGAAGGAGAUAAUCUUAUAGCAAGAUUCCCCUCUAGACAAGACUCUAAAAUAAUCAGACUUAAGAAUCUAAGCAUUGCUGAACCAUCAAGUUCGCAAUACUAUAUCAAGACAAGAUAUGUAAACCAAGAAGGAUAUAAGAAGAAUCUUCUUGUCCUCAUAGAUACUGGAGCAGAUAAGAGUCAUGUAAAUGCUAAAUUUGUUAGUCAUCUAACAGAAUUUGAGAUAUCUGAACCAUACAUAUUUAAAGAUUAUUUAGGAAAUAAUCUUGAAAUCAAAAAAUAUGUUAAGUUCCCUCUUAUACUUAUAGGAGAGGACCAAAAAGAAUAUAAUAAAGAAAUAAUUCUAUAUAAAGAUGAACUAUAUGGAGUAGAACGUUCACCUAUUCUACUAGGAAUGAAUUUUCUAGAAAAAUAUAGUCCUUACAAAAUCUGUCAAGGAUACUUGAAAAUAACAGUUGAUGAUAAUCCAAUCAUCAUUCCAAGAAUAGAUGAAAAUAUGAAAUCAUUAUUAUCAUGGAAAGAGUAAUAAGUACUAAUCCCAUGAGCCCAU
RNAcentral lists this long non-coding RNA (1521 nucleotides) under Olea europaea subsp. europaea. The record is from RNAcentral. Lineage: Eukaryota; Viridiplantae; Streptophyta; Magnoliopsida; Lamiales; Oleaceae.